RNAcentral lists this ribosomal RNA (711 nucleotides) under Agrococcus sp. RNAcentral's name for it is "bacterial SSU rRNA". It matches the Rfam family "Bacterial small subunit ribosomal RNA", at positions 98 to 823 of the family's 1533-position model. Lineage: Bacteria; Bacillati; Actinomycetota; Actinomycetes; Micrococcales; Microbacteriaceae. The record is from RNAcentral.
GCGAACGGGUGAGUAACACGUGAGCAAUCUGCCCCUGACUCUGGGAUAAGCGCUGGAAACGGCGUCUAAUACCGGAUAUGAGCCGAGCAGGCAUCUGCAUCGGCUGGAAAGAACUUCGGUCAGGGAUGAGCUCGCGGCCUAUCAGCUAGUUGGUGAGGUAAUGGCUCACCAAGGCGACGACGGGUAGCCGGCCUGAGAGGGUGACCGGCCACACUGGGACUGAGACACGGCCCAGACUCCUACGGGAGGCAGCAGUGGGGAAUAUUGCACAAUGGGCGCAAGCCUGAUGCAGCAACGCCGCGUGAGGGACGAAGGCCUUCGGGUUGUAAACCUCUUUUAGCAGGGAAGAAGCGAGAGUGACGGUACCUGCAGAAAAAGCACCGGCUAACUACGUGCCAGCAGCCGCGGUAAUACGUAGGGUGCGAGCGUUAUCCGGAAUUAUUGGGCGUAAAGAGCUCGUAGGCGGUCUGUCGCGUCUGCUGUGAAAUCCCGAGGCUCAACCUCGGGCUUGCAGUGGGUACGGGCAGACUAGAGUGCGGUAGGGGAGAUUGGAAUUCCUGGUGUAGCGGUGGAAUGCGCAGAUAUCAGGAGGAACACCGAUGGCGAAGGCAGAUCUCUGGGCCGUUACUGACGCUGAGGAGCGAAAGCGUGGGGAGCAAACAGGCUUAGAUACCCUGGUAGUCCACGCCGUAAACGUUGGGAACUAGAUGU